Pteropus alecto (black flying fox) is the source of this 1419-nucleotide long non-coding RNA. RefSeq lists it as uncharacterized. The record is from RefSeq and is a predicted model, not a curated record. Lineage: Eukaryota; Metazoa; Chordata; Mammalia; Chiroptera; Pteropodidae. The transcript has 2 exons.
GCUGUAACCAAACAGAAGGGCAGAGAUCAGCCCAGGGACCACGCCAUCCCCAGCAGCCUUGCCUCAUGAUCUCCCUAGGACACACCCGUCCCUCAUGCUGACUCUAAGCCAAUGACCACCUCAGCGGCUCUAUACAAGGACUGCUGGCUUUAUACAAGGACUGUUACCAUGGCCUGGAGCUGGAAUGGGAUUCCAGAGCUAGAAAGGAAACCUUCUACUUUGUGGAGAAGGGAGAUGCAUUUUCCAGAAGUCAGAGUUUGGAGCUCUCAGUGGGUCAACAGUUUGGAGCAGGGUUUUUCCAGUUCUGCUUUUAAUAUAACCAAGUAACCUGCUCUCUUUCACCCAAUUCCAGUGAGAGAGCAGGGUUAACUACCUUAACCUCCCAGCUAGAACUCAUUCUCUGGAAAUAUCUAUGUGCCUAAAUUAAUACCAUAUCACUUCUCACCCAUUUUAUCAGUGGAAUAAAAAAUAUCUUUACCAAACUAUCAAAGUAAUAAUUGAUUAAGACAGAAAUCAUGAAUGAAUGUUAAACAGGAUACAUACCUAAUCUCAAGGCAUCUCCCCAUUAAUUACAAAGGGAAAUAGCACCAGUAAUAGGACAAAGCUACAUGAGAUGCCUCCUGCUAGGAGGCACUUGGAAGGACACAACUUCACAUCUAUGAUAUUACUGCCAAAAAUGCAUAACCUGAAUCUAUUCAUGAGGAAACAUCAAACAGAUUCAAGUUGAGGACCAUUCUACAAAAUAACUGGCCUGUACCCUUCAGAAAUGUUAGAGUUAUUAAAGACAGAAACUUCCAGGUUAAAGGAGACUAAAUAUAAAUUAUGACAAUGUAAAGAAUGAUCUUGGACCAGAAAACAAUUUUUUUCUUUUGCUAUAAAGGAUGUUAAUAGGGCAACUGAUAACAUUUAAAUAAAGUUUAUAGAUAAUAGUAUUUUAUCAUUCUUAAUUUCAUGGUUUUGAUCAUUGUACUGUGGUUUCGUAAGAAUGUCCUUGUCUUUUAGGAAAUAUAUACUGACGUAUAGGGGGAUAAAGAGGUAUAUCUGUAACUUACUCUCAGAUGGUUCAGAAAUAUGAAUGUGUAUAUAUGUGUGUAAUAUAUGUAUAUAUACUGUCUAUAAAAAUUGAGAAUGAUAAAGCAAUGUGAAUGAUAAAGUAUGUGAUAAAAUGUAAAAAUGUUAACAUUUGGAGAAUCUGGAUAAAGAAUGCCUGGGGAUUCUUUGGACUAGUCUUAUAACUUUUUUAGUAAGCCAAAUAUUUCAAAAUAAAGUUUUUAAAAACAGAAUAUAUAUAAUUAGCAAUAAUAUACUUAUUGACAAAACAGUAGUUCUCCAAAUCUUUUCUGAAUCAUCUAACUGGCCGUCAGUACCAAAAUUUAAAAAAUUCUUUAUAAAAUAUAUAUACUAUUACAAAAUUAAAAA